RNAcentral lists this ribosomal RNA (674 nucleotides) under bacterium Ellin6555. RNAcentral's name for it is "bacterial SSU rRNA". It matches the Rfam family "Bacterial small subunit ribosomal RNA", at positions 90 to 768 of the family's 1533-position model. The record is from RNAcentral.
GGCGCACGGCGCUCGGGUGCGUAACACGUGGGUUAUCUGCCCUCUGAUGGGGAAUAACUCGCCGAAAGGCGAGCUAAUUCCGCAUAACAUUCCGUGGACUCCGGUUCGAGGAUUCAAAGGCGUAAGUCGUCGGAGGUGGAGCCCGCGCACGAUUAGCUAGUUGGUGAGGUAAUGGCUCACCAAGGCUAUGAUCGUUAGCUGGUCUGAGAGGAUGUCCAGCCACACUGGAACUGAGACACGGUCCAGACUCCUACGGGAGGCAGCAGUGGGGAAUCUUGCACAAUGGGCGAAAGCCUGAUGCAGCGACGCCGCGUGGGGGAUGAAGCUUCUCGGAGUGUAAACCCCUUUCGACCGGGACGAAUGCCCGCAAGGGACUGACGGUACCGGUAUAAGAAGCCCCGGCUAACUACGUGCCAGCAGCCGCGGUAAGACGUAGGGGGCCAGCGUUGCUCGGAAUUACUGGGUGUAAAGGGUUCGUAGGCGGUGUAGCAAGUCGGGAGUGAAAUCUCUGGGCUCAACCCAGGGGCUGCUUCCGAAACUGCUGUGCUAGAGUGUGGGAGAGGCGCGUGGAAUUGCAGGUGUAGCGGUGAAAUGCGUAGAUAUCUGCAGGAACACCCGUGGCGAAAGCGGCGCGCUGGACCACUACUGACGCUGAGGAACGAAAGCUAGGGGAG